AUACGGAGGGUGCAAGCGUUGUUCGGAAUUAUUGGGCGUAAAGCGCGUGUAGGCGGUCUGUUAAGUCUGGUGUGAAAGCCCUGGGCUCAACCCAGGAAGUGCAUUGGAUACUGACAGACUUGAGUAUGGGAGAGGAAAGCGGAAUUCCGAGUGUAGGAGUGAAAUCCGUAGAUAUUCGGAGGAACACCAGUGGCGAAGGCGGCUUUCUGGACCAAUACUGACGCUGAGACGCGAAAGCGUGGGGAGCAAACAGGAUUAGAAACCCGAGUAGUCC
RNAcentral lists this ribosomal RNA (274 nucleotides) under uncultured bacterium. RNAcentral describes it as "partial 16S ribosomal RNA". It matches the Rfam family "Bacterial small subunit ribosomal RNA", at positions 523 to 796 of the family's 1533-position model. The record is from RNAcentral.